Galeopterus variegatus (Sunda flying lemur) is the source of this 638-nucleotide long non-coding RNA. RefSeq lists it as uncharacterized. NCBI's taxonomy places the organism in Eukaryota, Metazoa, Chordata, Mammalia, Dermoptera, Cynocephalidae. The transcript is spliced from 3 exons. The record is from RefSeq and is a predicted model, not a curated record.
GUGAUUGAAGACCGUAUUGUACUGCUUGGAUCUCUUCAAAAUAGCAAAAACAAGAGGACACAAAAUAUGGCUGUUGCACUAUAGCUUAGAGUUCUCCAGGCUGCUAUGGAAUUUAUAAGGACCAUUGCAGAUCACAACUCUGAAAACCUUACAGAUCCAUUCCAGUCACCAUCUGCUGCCCUUUAUGCAGUGUUUCAGAAGCGGAAAAGCAUUGCUGGUACAGGAAGCUCCAGUCCACCACCCUGGGCAGCUCCUCCCUGUGGGUCUAAACUUGGUUCUGCAACUCAGGCUGUGCCCACCAUCUUUGAAAAAUGUUUUCCUGGCUUCUUCUGAGAUUGACUGCCACUCUCCCCACAUUUCAUUGUACUCACACCCAUGGCUUGAUAUUUCACUGUUUCCGAAGGCUUUUAUUUUGUGCAAAGAGUUUCAGAUGUCUUCUAGUUUCAAAGAAAAUGGAGUCUCCUGUACAUUACUCAUUCUUUUUGUUGUUUUAGAAUAAUUUCCACAAAGAGAAGGGGGAAAUGCUAACUUUAAAGUUUACUACUGCUGUAGAUUGAUUGAAUUUUUUCCUCCAAAGUUCAUCUUUGAGAAGCUUAAUUUCCAUUGUAACUGUUGAGGGUGGGAAGUUCUAUUAUGGU